UCCACGCCGUAAACGAUGGUCACUAGUUGUUGGUCCGCAAGGAUCAGUGAUUAAGAGAAAUUGAUAAGUGACCCACCUGGGGAGUACGAUCGCAAGAUUGAAACUCAAAGGAAUUGACGGGGGCCCGCACAAGCGGUGGAGCAUGUGGUUUAAUUCGAUGAUACGCGAGGAACCUUACCAGGGCUUAAAUGUAAGUUGCAUGAUUUAGAGAUAGAUCUUUCUUCGGACUACUU
Molecule: ribosomal RNA, 233 nt
Filed under: uncultured bacterium
Lineage: Bacteria
Description: partial 16S ribosomal RNA
Rfam family: Bacterial small subunit ribosomal RNA
Source: RNAcentral